Paramacrobiotus metropolitanus is the source of this 286-nucleotide long non-coding RNA. RefSeq lists it as uncharacterized. The transcript has 3 exons. Lineage: Eukaryota; Metazoa; Tardigrada; Eutardigrada; Parachela; Macrobiotidae. The record is from RefSeq and is a predicted model, not a curated record.
GCAGUACUUGUACUCCUAUAAGGCAACUCUUCUGUCUGAUUGUUAUUUGCACCCGAUUCCUCUCAGUACUUCCUUCAUCAGUGACGUACCAUAAUCACCUCAUGAAACCACUGCUCACCAUACCUUGCCCGAGUGCCAAAGGCGGUCAUCUCGGAUCCAUUACCGUGUACUGGAAUGCUUCCACUAACGGGAAGACAUCUUCCAGCAUGAACGUCACCAUCCCGAGCAACUGCAACAGCAGCAACGCUACUUUUGCGUUAUACUUCAAUAUCAGCCAUUCAAAUCC